RNAcentral lists this ribosomal RNA (301 nucleotides) under uncultured bacterium. RNAcentral's name for it is "partial 16S ribosomal RNA". It matches the Rfam family "Bacterial small subunit ribosomal RNA", at positions 509 to 808 of the family's 1533-position model. The record is from RNAcentral.
CAGUAGCCACGGUAAUACGGAGGGUGCAAGCGUUAAUCGGAAUUACUGGGCGUAAAGCGCACGCAGGCGGUCUGACAAGUCAGAUGUGAAAUCCCCGGGCUUAACCUGGGAACUGCAUUUGAAACUGUCAGGCUGGAGUCUUGAGAGGGGGGUGGAAUUCCAGGUGUAGCGGUGAAAUGCGUAGAGAUCUGGAGGAAUACCGGUGGCGAAGGCGGCCCCCUGGACAAAGACUGACGCUCAGGUGCGAAAGCGUGGGGAGCAAACAGGAUUAGAUACCCCGGUAGUCCCUGUCUCUUAUACA